Molecule: ribosomal RNA, 275 nt
Filed under: uncultured Curvibacter sp.
Lineage: Bacteria; Pseudomonadati; Pseudomonadota; Betaproteobacteria; Burkholderiales; Comamonadaceae
Description: partial 16S ribosomal RNA
Rfam family: Bacterial small subunit ribosomal RNA
Source: RNAcentral
CCUACGGGUGGCUGCAGUGGGGAAUUUUGGACAAUGGGCGCAAGCCUGAUCCAGCCAUGCCGCGUGCAGGAUGAAGGCCUUCGGGUUGUAAACUGCUUUUGUACGGAACGAAAAGGUUUGGCCUAAUACGCUGAACUCAUGACGGUACCGUAAGAAUAAGCACCGGCUAACUACGUGCCAGCAGCCGCGGUAAUACGUAGGGUGCGAGCGUUAAUCGGAAUUACUGGGCGUAAAGCGUGCGCAGGCGGUUAUGUAAGACAGAUGUGAAAUCCCCG